RNAcentral lists this ribosomal RNA (253 nucleotides) under uncultured bacterium. RNAcentral describes it as "partial 16S ribosomal RNA". It matches the Rfam family "Bacterial small subunit ribosomal RNA", at positions 524 to 776 of the family's 1533-position model. The record is from RNAcentral.
UACGGAGGGUGCAAGCGUUAUCCGGAUUCACUGGGUUUAAAGGGUGCGUAGGCGGGCAGAUAAGUCAGUGGUGAAAUCUCCGAGCUUAACUCGGAAACUGCCUUGGAUACUAUAAGUCUUGAAUGACGUUGAGGUUAGCGGAAUAUGUCAUGUAGCGGUGAAAUGCUUAGAUAUGACAUAGAACAUCUAUUGCGAAGGCAGCUAACUAAGCGUAUAUUGACGCUGAUGCACGAAAGCGUGGGGAUCAAACAGG